This 22-nucleotide microRNA is filed under the name Homo sapiens (human). RNAcentral's name for it is "hsa-miR-6757-3p". The record is from miRBase by way of RNAcentral. Lineage: Eukaryota; Metazoa; Chordata; Mammalia; Primates; Hominidae.
AACACUGGCCUUGCUAUCCCCA